GCUCUACACUUGAUCGCUGAAAGUUUUCUCAUUUCUCAGGUAAGUCCUGUUGAGAAACUAUCCACACCUGAUGCA
Small nucleolar RNA from Selaginella moellendorffii, 75 nucleotides. It matches the Rfam family "Small nucleolar RNA snoR101". The record is from Rfam. NCBI's taxonomy places the organism in Eukaryota, Viridiplantae, Streptophyta, Lycopodiopsida, Selaginellales, Selaginellaceae.